This 1167-nucleotide ribosomal RNA is filed under the name Campylobacter jejuni. Its description in RNAcentral is "partial 23S ribosomal RNA". It matches the Rfam family "Bacterial large subunit ribosomal RNA", at positions 1 to 1188 of the family's 2925-position model. The record is from RNAcentral. Lineage: Bacteria; Pseudomonadati; Campylobacterota; Epsilonproteobacteria; Campylobacterales; Campylobacteraceae.
AGGUAAGCUACUAAGAGCGAAUGGUGGAUGCCUUGACUGGUAAAGGCGAUGAAGGACGUACUAGACUGCGAUAAGCUACGGGGAGCUGUCAAGAAGCUUUGAUCCGUAGAUUUCCGAAUGGGGCAACCCAAUGUAUAGAGAUAUACAUUACCUAUAUAGGAGCGAACGAGGGGAAUUGAAACAUCUUAGUACCCUCAGGAAAAGAAAUCAAUAGAGAUUGCGUCAGUAGCGGCGAGCGAAAGCGCAAGAGGGCAAACCCAGUGCUUGCACUGGGGGUUGUAGGACUGCAAUGUGCAAGAGCUGAGUUUAGCAGAACAUUCUGGAAAGUAUAGCCAUAGAGGGUGAUAGUCCCGUAUGCGAAAAACAAACCUUAGCUAGCAGUAUCCUGAGUAGGGCGGGACACGAGGAAUCCUGUCUGAAUCCGGGUCGACCACGAUCCAACCCUAAAUACUAAUACCAGAUCGAUAGUGCACAAGUACCGUGAGGGAAAGGUGAAAAGAACUGAGGUGAUCAGAGUGAAAUAGAACCUGAAACCAUUUGCUUACAAUCAUUCAGAGCACUAUGUAGCAAUACAGUGUGAUGGACUGCCUUUUGCAUAAUGAGCCUGCGAGUUGUGGUGUCUGGCAAGGUUAAGCAAACGCGAAGCCGUAGCGAAAGCGAGUCUGAAUAGGGCGCUUAGUCAGAUGCUGCAGACCCGAAACGAAGUGAUCUAUCCAUGAGCAAGUUGAAGCUAGUGUAAGAACUAGUGGAGGACUGAACCCAUAGGCGUUGAAAAGCCCCGGGAUGACUUGUGGAUAGGGGUGAAAGGCCAAUCAAACUUCGUGAUAGCUGGUUCUCUCCGAAAUAUAUUUAGGUAUAGCGUUGUGUCGUAAUAUAAGGGGGUAGAGCACUGAAUGGGCUAGGGCAUACACCAAUGUACCAAACCCUAUCAAACUCCGAAUACCUUAUAUGUAAUCACAGCAGUCAGGCGGCGAGUGAUAAAAUCCGUCGUCAAGAGGGAAACAACCCAGACUACCAGCUAAGGUCCCUAAAUCUUACUUAAGUGGAAAACGAUGUGAAGUUACUUAAACAACCAGGAGGUUGGCUUAGAAGCAGCCAUCCUUUAAAGAAAGCGUAAUAGCUCACUGGUCUAGUGAUUUUGCGCGGAAAAUAUAACGGGGCUAAAGU